GCCAGGUAUGGUGGCGCAUGCCUGUAAUCCCAGUUACUCGGGAGGCUGAGAUGGGAGAAUUGCUUGAACCUGGGAGGUGGAGGUUGCAGUGAGCCGAGAUCAUGCCACUGCACUCCAGCCUGGGUGACAGAGCAAGACUCCGUCUAAA
Molecule: non-coding RNA, 148 nt
Filed under: Macaca mulatta (Rhesus monkey)
Lineage: Eukaryota; Metazoa; Chordata; Mammalia; Primates; Cercopithecidae
Source: Rfam by way of RNAcentral